Molecule: ribosomal RNA, 503 nt
Filed under: uncultured bacterium
Lineage: Bacteria
Description: partial 16S ribosomal RNA
Rfam family: Bacterial small subunit ribosomal RNA
Source: RNAcentral
AUUGAACGCUGGCGGCAGGCUUAACACAUGCAAGUCGAGCGGGGUGAUGGUGCUUGCACUAUCACUUAGCGGCGGACGGGUGAGUAAUGCUUAGGAAUCUGCCUAUUAGUGGGGGACAACAUCUCGAAAGGGAUGCUAAUACCGCAUACGUCCUACGGGAGAAAGCAGGGGAUCACUUGUGACCUUGCGCUAAUAGAUGAGCCUAAGUCGGAUUAGCUAGUUGGUGGGGUAAAGGCCGACCAAGGCGACGAUCUGUAGCGGGUUUGAGAGGAUGAUCCGCCACAAUGGGACGGAGACACGGCCAAGACUCCUACGGGAGGCAGCAGUGGGGAAUAUUGGACAAUGGGGGGAACCCUGAUCCAGCCAUGCCGCGUGUGUGAAGAAGGCCUUAUGGUUGUAAAGCACUUUAAGCGAGGAGGAGGCUCUUUUGGUUAAUACCCAAGAUGAGUGGACGUUACUCGCAGAAUAAGCACCGGCUAACUCUGUGCCAGCCGCCGCAGUAA